Molecule: unclassified non-coding RNA, 372 nt
Filed under: uncultured Bacteroidaceae bacterium
Lineage: Bacteria; Pseudomonadati; Bacteroidota; Bacteroidia; Bacteroidales; Bacteroidaceae
Description: contains 16S-23S intergenic spacer region
Source: RNAcentral
UCACAUCUUACGAUGGCAGUCCCACUAGAGUCCUCAGCAUGACCUGUUAGUAACUAAUGGCAAGGGUUGCGCUCGUUAUGGCACUUAAGCCGACACCUCACGGCACGAGCUGACGACAACCAUGCAGCACCUUCACAGAGGUCCGAAGAAGACUCAAUCUCUUGAGCUAUCCUCUGCAAUUUAAGCCCGGGUAAGGUUCCUCGCGUAUCAUCGAAUUAAACCACAUGUUCCUCCGCUUGUGCGGGCCCCCGUCAAUUCCUUUGAGUUUCACCGUUGCCGGCGUACUCCCCAGGUGGAAUACUUAAUGCUUUCGCUUGGCCGCUGACCGUAUAUCGCCAACAGCGAGUAUUCAUCGUUUACCGUGUGGACUAC